CCAGCCUGUCCCUGGGGCUGGUUUUACUGAGCCCAGCUAUCCUGCCGACACUUUGAGGUCUGGGAUAGUUGGCCAAGAAGCUUUUUAGCCCUCUGAGCACAAAGUGGGGUCCAGGAACCUCAAGUAUGGGCAUGGCCAGUGGCCCUGGGGUUUUCAGGACAGGUAUGGUGGGGACACCCCAGAGAACCAGGCUGAACAAGCACAUUCUUGGUGGGAUUUGAGAAUGUGGUAGAAACUGGCAUGGCACCGGUCAUGUGGAAGGCUUUAGAUGCCUUUCCAGGCCAAAUCCACUUUGGAUAAGCACCCCACGUGUCGGGGCUCUCCCUUCUCUUUCCCUUGCAUCGGGUUUUGCCCACAGUGCCAGUGUUUUCCCCAAGGAGAAGCCAUGCCUGGAUCGUGAGAGCUGGCAGGGACACCCUCAGUGGGUCCUGGCAUCUGCCUAACUGUGCCAGUGUGACUGCCAUCUGAUCCUCACUCCAGCUGGAAGGCACAAAAGUGCGUUCUCGUUUAUGUCCUCUCACUUCUUCUCCCAGGCUGGACCACGCAGCCAUGUUGAAGGUCAGAGAACCCAACAGCAUCUCAGUUGGGCCCGUCUCCCUGUGCCUACGCCGUCCGUGGCCAUACCACCCUGAACACGCCCAAUGCUGUCUCCCUGUGCCUAUGCUGAGGCACUUGCCUCUGCCCACCUAGGGGCCAGCUCAGCCUCAGCCUGAGGCCAAGAGCAAACAGAAUCCUCCUGCAGGUCCGGCAGCAGGAAGACCUGAUGGCCACCAACUUGGACACAAGUAUGGGCGUGGUCAUUGGCCCUGGGGUUCUCAGGACUAUGCUGUGGCCACGGCCUAGUCACAGCAGGCAGCUCCAUCAUGGUUUCUCCCAAGGCUGCAGCUCAGCCGCACGCCGGCCAGGCGCACAGUGCUGUCUGGGCAGGAGCCAGUGGCCUGGUGGCCCGGUGGCCGUGAGGCCGACUCCUGUCUCCCUGGACCAGAGAUCUAGGUCUGAAAGGACCUGGCGCUGCCUCGGCAGACCUGUGGAGACCAAGCUCGUCGAGCCCUGUGCAGCGGGGACAGGGCAGUGGCACAGUGGCCAUAAAAGUUCCUCUCUGGUCCUUCUCCAGUUCUGGCUGAGUGCUGGACUCCUCCUGACUUUAAGCCGUGGCCAGGCUCUGUCUCCAUGCCUCCCUCCCUCCCUCCAGACCUGCAGGAUUCCCUGUCACUCCCUCCUGCACUGUGUUCUCUGUCCACCAUCAUGUGCCACAGACAGCUGCGCCCCAGCCUCAGGACAGACCCAGAAGUUAAGCCUCCCCAGUCCCUUCUGGGUCACCCGCUCUGGGAGUGACAUCCUGCACCCUGUAGAUCCUUGAUGCCUUUAUCUCUCCAGUGCCCCUUCUCCCUGUGCUUCUGGGUGCUGAUUUGGAUCAGGCCACAGAUGCUCUCCCAAGUGUCAGGGCAGCAGCCACCUGCCCAGGGUCCUUCUCUGUCAAAACAGCAUCUGACUGCUGACCCUGCCUAACACAGGGAACUCCUGCUCUCCUCUGCUAGACACAACUCAUGCUCUGCCGCCUUAAGAACAGAGUCACGAGCUCAGAGACACGCCAGGCACUCCGUGACUGCUGCCCCAUGGCACGGGGCGGCAGGCAUUGCCCCUGUGCCCUGCCUGCCUGCCCAUGCCCACCCUCUGUACCACUGCCCCUGGACCACAGUGCUCACUGGCUCUGCGUGGCCCCAGCCUUCUCUUGCCCUCACGCUCUUCCCACCCUGCAGACCCC
Molecule: long non-coding RNA, 1765 nt
Organism: Fukomys damarensis (Damara mole-rat)
Lineage: Eukaryota; Metazoa; Chordata; Mammalia; Rodentia; Bathyergidae
Source: Ensembl